This 481-nucleotide unclassified non-coding RNA is filed under the name Artemisia pygmaea. RNAcentral's name for it is "partial external transcribed spacer". The stretch from base 431 to 481 matches the Rfam family "Eukaryotic small subunit ribosomal RNA", at positions 1 to 51 of the family's 1831-position model. Lineage: Eukaryota; Viridiplantae; Streptophyta; Magnoliopsida; Asterales; Asteraceae. The record is from RNAcentral.
GUCCGUAAAGGUGGAUGAGUGGUGUUUGGUUUGUUACGUGUGGUUGGCUGCGGCGUUUGCAACAACUUCCAUGCUUUCAGACCUCUUCAUUUGUGCGGCAAGGCUUGUAUCGCCUUGAGCGUAUUGCGGGUUUUCUGUGUUGAAUACCUAAUCAAUGGUAUCGGUUGGAUUGAUCAAUGUUUGAUUUCGUCUGUCGUUGCACUUGCGGCGUGAGAUGAACCCUGAUGCGGUCUCUUUGAUCCACCUCGUUGAAGCGCAUGCUUUGACGUUGUGGCGCAUUGAGCAUUGCUUGGUCUCUUGCAUACGGAAAAUGUAGCGGGCAUGAAUCUAAUGGUUCUCGUUUGCCCUCAUAUUAGCGUAACGCUUCUCUUACACGACUUGCUCCACGUUUUAGCUCGUACGGACGUGGUGCUAUGUCAAAGAGGAAUGCUACCUGGUUGAUCCUGCCAGUAGUCAUAUGCUUGUCUCAAAGAUUAAGCCA